This 65-nucleotide transfer RNA is filed under the name Benthomangelia sp. JEU-2016. RNAcentral describes it as "tRNA-Gly". Lineage: Eukaryota; Metazoa; Mollusca; Gastropoda; Neogastropoda; Conidae. The record is from RNAcentral.
AUCUUUUGAGUAUGAGUAGUACGUUUGCCUUCCAAGCAAAAAGUUUAAAUUAUUUAAAAAAGAUA